This 497-nucleotide ribosomal RNA is filed under the name uncultured bacterium. RNAcentral's name for it is "partial 16S ribosomal RNA". It matches the Rfam family "Bacterial small subunit ribosomal RNA", at positions 28 to 507 of the family's 1533-position model. The record is from RNAcentral.
GGCGAACGCUGGCGGCGUGCCUAAUACAUGCAAGUUGAGCGCUGAAGGUUGGUACUUGUACCAACUGGAUGAGCAGCGAACGGGUGAGUAACGCGUGGGGAAUCUGCCUUUGAGCGGGGGACAACAUUUGGAAACGAAUGCUAAUACCGCAUAAAAACUUUAAACACAAGUUUUAAGUUUGAAAGAUGCAAUUGCAUCACUCAAAGAUGAUCCCGCGUUGUAUUAGCUAGUUGGUGAGAUAAAGGCUCACCAAGGCGAUGAUACAUAGCCGACCUGAGAGGGUGAUCGGCCACAUUGGGACUGAGACACGGCCCAAACUCCUACGGGAGGCAGCAGUAGGGAAUCUUCGGCAAUGGACGAAAGUCUGACCGAGCAACGCCGCGUGAGUGAAGAAGGUUUUCGGAUCGUAAAACUCUGUUGGUAGAGAAGAACGUUGGUGAGAGUGGAAAGCUCAUCAAGUGACGGUAACUACCCAGAAAGGGACGGCUAACUACGUG